Molecule: long non-coding RNA, 320 nt
Filed under: Anser brachyrhynchus (Pink-footed goose)
Lineage: Eukaryota; Metazoa; Chordata; Aves; Anseriformes; Anatidae
Description: lncRNA (ENSABRG00000004949.1)
Source: RNAcentral
CUUUUGGGAGUCUUAUUACAACAAUUAUGGAUGAUUAAGCUAUAUUUAAAAAAGGAGGAAAAAAGCAGUUCCAUGACCAAUAGCACUAACAAAAGCUGGAAACCAGUGCGAACAUGAUUACACAGAGGAAACUCAUACAGCUUUCAUCUGGCAGAAGGCUGGGAAGGACAGUUUGGUGCAAGGGUCAAACCCAAAAGCACCAAAUUUCUGCAAUGUCAUGUACAAGCAUGCCCUCCUCUCUGGUCUCCAAAAAUCUUGCUCUCUUGGCAGUACAGAACAACCACACUGGCUAGCAAUCACGAAUACAAUACAAUAUCUAC